This 329-nucleotide unclassified non-coding RNA is filed under the name soil metagenome. RNAcentral describes it as "partial contains 5.8S ribosomal RNA, internal transcribed spacer 2, and large subunit ribosomal RNA". The stretch from base 1 to 120 matches the Rfam family "5.8S ribosomal RNA", at positions 35 to 154 of the family's 154-position model. The record is from RNAcentral.
GAUGAAGAACGUAGCGAAAUGCGAUAAUUAAUGUGAAUUGCAGAAUUUAGUGAAUCAUCGAAUCUUUGAACGCACAUUGCGCCCCUUGGUAUUCCGGGGGGCAUGCCUGUUCGAGCGUCAUUUCAACCCUCAAGCUCUGCUUGGUCUUGGGCCGCGCCGGCAACGGCGGGCCUCAAAAACAGUGGCGGCGCCAUCUGGUCCCUCAGCGUAGUAAUUCUUCUCGCUGCUGGGCCCCGGUGGCCGCUGGCCAGCAACCCCAAACUUUCUAUGGUUGACCUCGGAUCAGGUAGGGAUACCCGCUGAACUUAAGCAUAUCAAUAAGCGGAGGA